CCCGCCGGGGCUGCAAAGCAGCGCCUGAAUUCGGGCAUUAGCCCGAGAGGGACGGUGAUUCAUCCGCCCCACAGCGCUGCACGAAGGGGAAAAAACCGUACUACUGUUUGGCUGCGGAAUUUGUCAUAAAAUAGCCUGUGGGGUGGGAGAGUAGUGGAAAACGACCGUGACAUGAUUUCCAUUGCUGUGGAGAGAUGGGUUCUCUUAACUUUCCCCGAAACGGGCUGUGUUUUCAGUUUUUAUUGCAGCUUUGCCUCCGCUCACUGUUGAUGGAGUUAACCUCUUUAUACUCUUUCCACAUGUAUGUUUUUACAAGAUACAGCAGAAGUAGAGAAGGGGCCUUGACUCCAAGAGUAUCAGCACAGCAGUGAAUAGAGAUUACCGUCACCAAAUCAAAACAGGGGAGGCAGUGACAGCAUGGAAAGCUUGCACUAAUUUAAGCUGGUAUAAUAUUUCUGGUGCCUGCAAGGGAUGAUGCCCAGGGGAAGCCUUGUUGACUGGUCAGUGUCCCAGUGGAGAAGUGAAGAGCAUUAUUUGGUGUUUGGAUAACAUAUCUAUUCUCUCUGCUAGCCAAACACAUUGUGUGACAUGGACACAGAAGGCACCCAUCCAAGUGGCCCCACGAGCUGCCUGUGUUGUAAAGCUGUUUUCCUGCAGAGCAGCCAUCGGCUGGCAGCAGCUGGUGGGGGAGCUUGGCAGCAGGAGCUGUGGUGACCUCUCUGCUGUGGGGCUUGCACAAUGCCAUGGGAGCUCCUGGAACGGAUGGGAAUGAUGUACACAGGAGAUAUUCCUGGGGCCAUUACACAGUGCUGGAAGAGGCUGGAUUGCAGCGGUCCUAUUAAUGUCUUUCAUUCAUCUCCAGUGAAGUCAACAGUUGAAAGCAAUUUUAAGCACUUGGAUCAUACAGAAUAUAUAAAUACCUGUGUUCUGUCUAGCUGUAACAAUUCAAUGAUAAGUAUGACUCCCUGGUGAACGAACAGGAUAUCACAGGCUUAUUAUGUCUUCCAAAUGGGUCAGAGUUGAAUCUUUUACUGGAUUUCCACAUUAGUUUUCUCUUAACAGGUUAGAUUUUUCACUCGGAGAAGGUUAUUGUUGUAAUUCUCAGGGUCAUUAUCACAACAAAAACAUCACCAGAUCUUUUGAAGAUAAUUAAAACAAAUUUUUUAUUACCUGCAAUUUGGUUCUACAUUCUAACGAACACCUUUAUUUUUAUAUAUUUCAAUAUAGUUCAGGUUUAUGUAUUCUGUAUAUAUAGAUCCAGUAUCAAUUGAAUCAAUAUGUAU
This is a non-coding RNA of Cyanistes caeruleus (blue tit), 1283 nucleotides long. NCBI's taxonomy places the organism in Eukaryota, Metazoa, Chordata, Aves, Passeriformes, Paridae. The record is from RefSeq and is a predicted model, not a curated record.